RNAcentral lists this long non-coding RNA (357 nucleotides) under Setaria viridis. Its description in RNAcentral is "long non-coding RNA (SVIR_LNC001543)". The record is from RNAcentral. Lineage: Eukaryota; Viridiplantae; Streptophyta; Magnoliopsida; Poales; Poaceae.
UCAUCUAAUCUAUGCUAACUAUCUAUUACUGAUCAUGAUCCAAAAAUAAAUCUAUCCUCUCACUUUGCAGGAAAACAUUAAGUACUAAAAAUUAAAUAUUUUUUAGUCUAGCAAACUAUACAGUAUAUGAGUGAUCUGUAAAUCUCAUGUAGGCACCAUCCUUGAAUACCUAAACUGAUGCAAGAUACUCUUCAAUCCUACAUCUACAUCAUCAAGUGGUCCUCCUGACAGAAUCAUGAAUGCUAUUUUGACUUAGACCAAUUAAUGACAGCAUGUUGCAUACUAACCACAAUUUAGCUUCAGCGAAUCUUGCUAGCUAUAUCCAUCACAAAAAGGUAGAAGUACCAUCCAUCACCC